UAGGGAAUAUUGGACAAUGGGCGCAAGCCUGAUCCAGCCAUGCCGCGUGAGUGAAGAAGGCCCUCGGGUUGUAAAGCUCUUUUGUCCGGAAAGAAAAGCAUCGGGUUAAUACCCCGGUGUUCUGACGGUACCGGAAGAAUAAGCACCGGCUAACUUCGUGCCAGCAGCCGCGGUAAUACGAAGGGUGCAAGCGUUACUCGGAAUUACUGGGCGUAAAGCGUGCGUAGGUGGUUCGUUAAGUCUGAUGUGAAAGCCAUGGGCUCAACCUGGGAAUGGCAUUGGAAACUGGCGGACUGGAGUGCGGUAGAGGGUAGCGGAAUUCCCGGUGUAGCAGUGAAAUGCGUAGAGAUCGGGAGGAACAUCCGUGGCGAAGGCGGCUACCUGGACCAGCACUGACACUGAGACACGAAAGCGUGGGGAGCAAACA
This 427-nucleotide ribosomal RNA is filed under the name uncultured bacterium. RNAcentral describes it as "bacterial SSU rRNA". It matches the Rfam family "Bacterial small subunit ribosomal RNA", at positions 355 to 774 of the family's 1533-position model. The record is from RNAcentral.